RNAcentral lists this small RNA (152 nucleotides) under Candidatus Zixiibacteriota bacterium. RNAcentral describes it as "Actinobacteria sRNA Ms_IGR-5". It matches the Rfam family "Actinobacteria sRNA Ms_IGR-5". The record is from Rfam by way of RNAcentral. Lineage: Bacteria; Pseudomonadati; Candidatus Zixiibacteriota.
ACACAAGAAAGGAGGUGGUCCAGUCUUGAUAAAUACGGAACAUAGUGAGGUGGCUGCUACUUAGCGGCGCUCUAACAUAUUAGUUGGGGUGACGUUAAGUAAAUCCCAACAGUUUACCGGCCCGACGGUUCCGCACUGUCGGGCUUUUCAUU